Vicia villosa (hairy vetch) is the source of this 2150-nucleotide long non-coding RNA. RefSeq lists it as uncharacterized. NCBI's taxonomy places the organism in Eukaryota, Viridiplantae, Streptophyta, Magnoliopsida, Fabales, Fabaceae. The record is from RefSeq and is a predicted model, not a curated record. The transcript is spliced from 8 exons.
UUUCUUUAACGUUUCUUCUUCCUCUUCUCACAAAAACACAAUCUUCCUCUCUCUCACAAAAUCAUUCCUCCAAAUAAAGAUAGAAAACAAAACAAAGAUGAAGGAACCUCAAAUCUCAACCCACAGUGACCAAUCCAACCGGAAAACUCCACCUCUUCGACACAACCGCACCCACCGGUUCAAAUCUGGAAGGGAAAAAGCAGAUUCGUCACCUCACAAAAAGAAGCUUCGUCGACGCCGACAUCUCAACUGCGCGUUUGCUCCACUGCUACCACCGCUCCCCGAUCUGAAUCGCUGAUGAAAUCGUUGAUGUGGCCACAUUCAGGUCCACCACCGCCACUGUAGCUCAGCCGAUCGAACCCUCUGUCACGCAUCAACCUUUUGAUCCCAUAAGCGCGGCGCACACGACGCACAGCCUCCCACAACACCGUCAAUCCGCAAGCCACUUCUGACGUCGCGCAACAAGCUUCCACCACCACCUCAUAGCUCAUCGACUUCUCAACCCAAGCAGGUAGAUCCAUUCCACUUCUUUUACAUUUUUGCUAGAUGAAAAUAUUUGAUUGUUUGUGUAUUUGAAAGACAUAAGGGAGGAGAUGCAAAGAUGAAGAGAACGUGCAUCUGUGUUUCACGUCUGAAUUUUUAUGUGUGAUAGACUUUGUUUUGUUUUCUAUCUUUAAUGCCUUGCCAAAUGUUGCAUAUUCAACAUGUUGCUGUGAAUUUGUUUUUGGCUAUAUUUAUAUUGUGUUAUUGUACACCACUGAUACUCUAUAAAUUGUGCUUGUGCCGAUUCGUUCCGAGAGUUUUAGAUGUCUAUACCAGGAAAUUAAUUUUUAGUUAGGCUUAGAGAAGGCGAUGUUGUUCAUGACCUAAUCAAGACCAGAUUCCUUUGUGGACUCGGUUUGCUUUCGAAUCAAACCAAGAUUCUAGCAAUUCACAGAAACGCCUGUUCCGACGUCGUUUCUCAAGCGCGCCUUCGAUCCUUUCACCUUUACGCAGGAGCUGUUUCCAAACUUCGCGGUGGAAAUUCAAAUGUGAAAUAUGCUUGGUAUGGAACUUCCUCUGAGAAUGACGUAAGAGACAUUCUUUCAAACGGUUUUAGUCACGUCCACGGUCAUAGCCUGUGCCUCUCUCUAGAUGAUUCUCCUCUCCAAAGUGUUAAAAGUUGCUUUGUUGGAAGAGAUGGUGUGAGGCAUUUGAUUUUGUGUAGGGUGAUUUUAGGAAGAACGCAGAUUGUGAAACCUGACACAAAACAAUGUUAUCCGAGCUAUGAGGAUUAUGAUUCUGAUGUGGAUAGUUUUUCAGCUCCAACCAAGUACGUGAUUUGGAGUAGUAGAAUAAAUACUCAUGUUUGGCCUGCAUAUGUUAUAAGCUUCAGGGUUCCUUCAUUCAAAGGAGACUUAGGGAGAAGAAUGAAGCUGUAGAGCCUGAGGCAGAUCCAGAAAGGGAUCAAAGAAUUGUUUUUGCCUAUUAGGUUAUUUGGUUGGCUCUGUUAUGUUUUUGUCUUGGUGAAGUGGGUGUCAAGCGCAUUUCGAAGGUUCUCUGCGGUGCUGGAAAGGAACUUCAAGGUAUUGUUUUGGAACACCUCCAGCCCGCUGCAGAAGUUAUGGGAUUCAGAAUGGGAGAACUAAGAGGUCUUUCAAGAUGGCGUGCACGAUAUCAUGGCAUUGGCUUGGAUCAAUGACUCAUAAGCAAUGCAACAGAAAAGGCUGGUAUGAUACUUGUUCAAGUUGAACGAUUUAUGAGGGUUCUUUCAUCUGUCUUGCAGCAGUAUUCAAACUUCUUCAAAUGGCUAUUAAAGUGUAUAAAAUUACUCAUGUCAGAACCAAGCGACCAACUUCUUCCAUAUAGCAGUGAACUUGUUAUUAUAUUUCUGAAGUUUCUGUAUGAACAAGAUCCAGUUAAGCAACUGCUGGAUAUAUUAGAAACAGAUUACAAUGUUGAAAUUGAUUUUUCAUCCUGAAAGUUGGAAUCCAAUGUGGUCUACAUCAAGGUCAAAGUGUGCACAUUUUGCAGUUCAUUUAUGUGGUUUACUCCCUAUUGUGUUUUUAUUUUUUCUUUGACUUCGAAAUUUGGUUGUAUUAGUUUCCUCAAGGGAUUGGUAUCUGUGAAUAACGCUAGUUAUUGAUUAUUAAUUUAUAGUUUUAUUCUGA